UACGGGGGGGGCAAGCGUUGUUCGGAAUUACUGGGCGUAAAGGGCUCGUAGGCGGCCAACUAAGUCACACGUGAAAUCCCCAGGCUUAACCUGGGAACUGCGUGUGAUACUGGAUGGCUUGAAUUCGGGAGAGGGAUGCAGAAUUCCAGGUGUAGCGGUGAAAUGCGUAGAUAUCUGGAGAAAUACCGGUGGCGAAGGCGGCAUCCUGGACCGACAUUGACGCUGAACGGCGAAAGCUAGGGGAGCAAACGGG
Molecule: ribosomal RNA, 253 nt
Filed under: uncultured bacterium
Lineage: Bacteria
Description: partial 16S ribosomal RNA
Rfam family: Bacterial small subunit ribosomal RNA
Source: RNAcentral